UUGAAGAAGUGUGCAAUUUGUGAAUAAGUGUUAUUUUAGUGCAUAAUUAGUUAUGCUAUUAUUAAAACAUACAAUCGCAGGAUCUUGCAAGUGAUAGAACCUCAGUAUGUGACAUAAAUAUGAUAAAUAUAUUAUAAUCCAUUCAAAAUGAAUGUCCAAAUCUUGUAAAUUAAAAACCCCUCUUACCAAAUUGUUAUUUCAUAUUUUAAACGAGUGUCGUGAAAUUGUGUAAUAGAGAGAACUGGGGCUUACAUUUGGAACGAGGGAUGAUAUUUCUGAUGCCGUUCACCUUCGCCCGGCCCCCUUUGUACCAGAGCCUCACGGACUCGUUCAACUCCGUCAAGGACGGCUUCAGCGAUGCUUGGAAUUCUUUGACUCGUAAAAUAGAGAAGCGUUACUACGACGCCGGUGAUUGGGUCACGCAAAAAUUAAGGGGAACCAUUGUAAAGUUAAGUGAAUUCCGUCCAUUAGGAGUGUAAUAUUUCUCGAAACAAUUUGAGGGUAAAUAAAAUAUAUUUAAUUUCAAGAUUUUCAGUUGACACAUGGAACACAGUAUCGGACAAAUAUAGAGCCACCGAAGAAUGGAUUACGACGAAAUGGAAAAGACUCAACUCAUUGCUUUAUGAAAUAAAUCCAUUUAUACCAUAGUAUUUAUCACAAAAUUAGGAAAUUAUAGUCUUAAAUUAGUUUAAUAUUUAUUUAAUUUAUUUCUGUAAAUAGUACUGCUACCAUUUGAGUCAAUUUAGUUAUUUUAAUUGAUUGAUUGUUACCUCAAGCCUUGGGUUAUGUGAGUCAGGUUACAACAAGGCGUUUUACGUGUUCCUUUUUUUACAUCGUUAAUAUUUUUAUGUAUUGUAUAAAUGUUAACUCUUCAGUAUAUGUUUAUUAAAAACAAACCGAAUGUUAAUUCAUGAAAAUUGUGUUUUUAUUUAUUUAAAA
RNA transcript from Papilio xuthus (Asian swallowtail), 939 nucleotides. RefSeq lists it as uncharacterized. Lineage: Eukaryota; Metazoa; Arthropoda; Insecta; Lepidoptera; Papilionidae. The record is from RefSeq and is a predicted model, not a curated record. The transcript has 2 exons.